This 210-nucleotide ribosomal RNA is filed under the name uncultured bacterium. RNAcentral describes it as "partial 16S ribosomal RNA". The record is from RNAcentral.
UCCAACACUGACAGUCACGAACAGGAAGCAGCUUGCUGCUAUCGCUGACGAGUGGCGGACGGGUAGAGUAAUGUCUAGGGAAACUGCCUGAUGGAGUGGGGAUAACUACUGGAAACGGUAGCUAAUACCGCAUAACGUCGCAAGACCAAAGAGUGGGGACCUAUCGUGUGCCUCUAUGCCAUACGGAUAGUAGCCCAGAUGUGGAUAUAG